UACGUAGGGUGCAAGCGUUGUCCGGAAUUAUUGGGCGUAAAGAGCUCGUAGGCGGUUUGUCGCGUCUGCUGUGAAAACUCGGGGCUUAACUCCGGGCCUGCAGUGGGUACGGGCAGACUAGAGUGCGGUAGGGGAGACUGGAAUUCCUGGUGUAGCGGUGAAAUGCGCAGAUAUCAGGAGGAACACCAGUGGCGAAGGCGGCUCACUGGCCCGUAACUGACGCUGAGGCACGAAAGCGUGGGGAGCAAACAGG
RNAcentral lists this ribosomal RNA (253 nucleotides) under uncultured bacterium. RNAcentral's name for it is "partial 16S ribosomal RNA". It matches the Rfam family "Bacterial small subunit ribosomal RNA", at positions 524 to 776 of the family's 1533-position model. The record is from RNAcentral.